CGAGGAAAACAGACAGUCGCGUGGGCAGGCCGAAAGGCCGUCCAUGAGGAAAGUCCGGGCUCCACAGGGCAAGGAUAACGGGUAACGCCCGCCGAAGGCGACUUCAGGAAAAGUGCAACAGAGAUAUACCGCCUCGUCGUCACAAGCUUCCUGUUUCUUCGCUGCGCCGCAAGCGGCACCGCGGAAUAAGUAGCGCCUGCACUUUGCGGCAGACGGAGAGAUAGGAAGCUUGUGACGACGAGGUAAGGGUGGAAAGGCGAGGUAAGAGCUCACCCGACGGCUCGUAAAAGUGCCCGUCGCUGUAAACUCUAUCCGGAGCAACACCGGUAUGGGAGCAGGAGCAUAGGCUCCAUGGCUGGCCCGGCCGCUCCCGGGGUGGCUUGAGCGCUCUGGCGACAGAGCGUCUAGAUAGAUGACUGUCAAAUACAGAACCCGGCUUACAGUUUCCCUCGUGCG
Molecule: RNase P RNA, 456 nt
Filed under: Oscillibacter sp. PC13
Lineage: Bacteria; Bacillati; Bacillota; Clostridia; Eubacteriales; Oscillospiraceae
Description: Bacterial RNase P class A
Rfam family: Bacterial RNase P class A
About the family: Ribonuclease P (RNase P) is a ubiquitous endoribonuclease, found in archaea, bacteria and eukarya as well as chloroplasts and mitochondria. Its best characterised activity is the generation of mature 5'-ends of tRNAs by cleaving the 5'-leader elements of precursor-tRNAs.
Source: Rfam by way of RNAcentral